Non-coding RNA from Xylaria telfairii, 72 nucleotides. The record is from the annotation of a GenBank genome assembly. NCBI's taxonomy places the organism in Eukaryota, Fungi, Ascomycota, Sordariomycetes, Xylariales, Xylariaceae.
GGUGCGUUGGGGAAGAGGUCAUCCCGCUUCAUUUGGGUUGAAGAGUCAUCGGUUCAAACCCGGUACGUGCCC